Bactrocera dorsalis (oriental fruit fly) is the source of this 1194-nucleotide long non-coding RNA. RefSeq lists it as uncharacterized. Lineage: Eukaryota; Metazoa; Arthropoda; Insecta; Diptera; Tephritidae. The transcript is spliced from 3 exons. The record is from RefSeq and is a predicted model, not a curated record.
UCAGAGGAAAAAUUACUGGCAAAGCAGCACAGAUCCUAAUCAACCAGAACGUAAAGAGAAACUGCCAAGACAUUAUCGAUAGGCUAGACGAUUCCUAUGCCGACAAACGACCAAUAUACGUACUGGAGGAAGAGAUGACAAAAAUACAACAAAACACGAUGUAUCGUUGAACAAAGCAUUGAAAUCUUAAAAAGACGGUGGAGUAUUUGAAGAUAUGACAAGAGAAGAAGGUAUUACACCACAAAAGUGGAAGAUUUGCUAACAUUUGUGAGGCAUUACAUACCAUCUGCAUAAAAUUUACAAUUAGCUACGACCCUCAAAAAUUGCGAUUCUUAUCACACACAAGAAAUGGACAAGGGGGUAGCGAACAGCUUCACCGCAAUCGACCAAAUAAAUAAUUUUAAUUCAAAAAUGUAUAUAUCCUUAUUCUUGUAAAUAAUUUUAUUUUUAUUGGCAACUAAAAUACAAAAAUUUGAUCACAUAAAUAAUUUUUUAUCAAUUUUUUAUGAGAUAUUCCAUUCAUUGGUUUCUUGUUUAUGUUCUUUAUUCCUAAAAAUUAUAAAAAACUUGAAAUUUAAAAAAAUGUUGCUCACGCUUCCAUAAAUUUGUAUAUUACGAUUGGUAAUUUGCGUUCGAACGACCAUUCGAACGAACGGAUACGUUUGUCAUCAUGCCAGAUUACGAUAGAAGCGUUACGAUCACGUAUGUCAUAAUACGAAAUACAGGGGUCGAAUCGUUACAUCCGUGCACCGAUCGGCAAACGUACGAAAGAAAAUUACGUGAUACGUCAAUCGUAUGCGAUGAUUGGCAUUAUGACAUACGAUAGCAAACGGAUCGAAUGUAUUUUCAAUUCACAAUAGUUUUUAAAUCCCAGAUUGCUUUGGAUCGUAUUUUUAGGUUACAAUAGAUGUGGAACUGUCAAAACUGUUGCGAAAUUUUCAAUAAACUAUCAAAAGCUAAUUAAAUAUCAAAAUGAAUUCAUGUUUGUUUUUUUAUUUGAGCUCUAGUGAAAGUAAUGGGCAUAAAAAAGUAGUGCGGAGGUAGCUAGGAGAUCGUAGCAAUAGCAUGUAUCGUUGAACAAAGCAUUGAAAUCUUAAAAAGACGGUGGAGUAUUUGAAGAUAUGACAAGAGAAGAAGGUAUUACCCCACAAAAGUUGAAAAUUUGUUAACAUUUGUGAGGCAUUACAUAACAUC